This 497-nucleotide ribosomal RNA is filed under the name uncultured bacterium. Its description in RNAcentral is "partial 16S ribosomal RNA". It matches the Rfam family "Bacterial small subunit ribosomal RNA", at positions 28 to 507 of the family's 1533-position model. The record is from RNAcentral.
GAUGAACGCUGGCGGCGUGCCUAAUACAUGCAAGUCGAACGCAUAGCGAAAGGUGCUUGCCCCUUUCAAGUGAGUGGCGAACGGGUGAGUAACACGUGGACAACCUGCCUCAAGGCUGGGGAUAACAUUUGGAAACAGAUGCUAAUACCGAAUAAAACUUAGUGUCGCAUGACCCAAAGUUAAAAGGCGCUUCGGCGUCACCUAUAGAUGGAUCCGCGGUGCAUUAGUUAGUUGGUGGGGUAAAGGCCUACCAAGACAAUGAUGCAUAGCCGAGUUGAGAGACUGAUCGGCCACAUUGGGACUGAGACACGGCCCAAACUCCUACGGGAGGCUGCAGUAGGGAAUCUUCCACAAUGGGCGAAAGCCUGAUGGAGCAACGCCGCGUGUGUGAUGAAGGCUUUCGGGUCGUAAAGCACUGUUGUAUGGGAAGAACAGCUAGAAUAGGAAAUGAUUUUAGUUUGACGGUACCAUACCAGAAAGGGACGGCUAAAUACGUG